GGAGCCGGUGACGCUGAGUGCUGAGUACCCAUCUCAGGGCAGUGAUGCAGAAAAGGGCGUCACCUCAGCCCUUCCCACCAGCGGGAAGAGAAGCUCUCAUGGACCACACUCUGCACCCCGCUACUGAGGACAGCUGCAUUGGUGUGGAACAUCAUAGCAUGGAGAGAGCCCUGCACCCACACAUCCUGGCUGCCAGGAGAACCCUGGAGAUGGGUUUGAGAUACAGCACUGAGACUCAAUUAAGGGCCUCCCACGUGCCUUGCAAAUGCUCCACCCAGCUGUAUCCCCAGCCCUGAUUCCAUUUUGUAGCCUUUUCACAUACUGUGAUUUCUACAUAAAUAAAUUUUAAUUUUGACAGAC
Chinchilla lanigera (long-tailed chinchilla) is the source of this 360-nucleotide long non-coding RNA. RefSeq lists it as uncharacterized. The transcript is spliced from 3 exons. The record is from RefSeq and is a predicted model, not a curated record. Lineage: Eukaryota; Metazoa; Chordata; Mammalia; Rodentia; Chinchillidae.